This is a long non-coding RNA of Mus musculus (house mouse), 3216 nucleotides long. RefSeq annotates it as predicted gene, 30798. The transcript has 2 exons. Lineage: Eukaryota; Metazoa; Chordata; Mammalia; Rodentia; Muridae. The record is from RefSeq and is a predicted model, not a curated record.
AGAAUGGUUUCAAGAGUGGUCUCAGAUCCCGGGUCUGUGACAGACUAUGCAGAAAGUAUCAUCCCUGCUGGGGGCUUUCAUGUGUCCUCUGUAAGGCCCCACUCACACACCCUCUCUAGCUCUACAAUGCUAGUGAGGAGGGCUUGAAGACUUGAAGGGCUUGAGUCCAUGUGAAGCAUCACCCAGCCUAGCCCACCACCCUAGGGGAACAAUGACAAUGUGACCACAGAAAAUGCUUGUCCUCUGGCUAGUCUCUGCCACUGACCCUUAGUGUCAAUGGAGGGACACAAAAAGGUCUACUCUGCUCCAUGGGGGCUUCUCUCUCUCUCUCUCUCUCUCUCUCUCUCUCUCUCUGUGUGUGUGUGUGUGUGUGUGUGUGUGUGUGUGUGUACAUAUACACAUAUAUGCCUAGAUGGAUGUAUGUGUGCUAUCCUGGUGCCUAAGCAGGCCAGAAGAGGGAAUUAAAUUCCCUGGAACUAGAGUUACAAGAACUUGAGUCACAUUAUGGAUACUGAGAAAUGAACCCUGGUCCUCUGCAAGAGGUCCACCACUCCCAGCUCCUCAACUGCAGUCUUCAACAAAACUCAUAAGAAACAUAUAAUCUCAGUAGCAUCCACGGCUCAGGGAAGUAAGAACUCUUAUUAUCUUUAUGUUACUGAUAAGGACUUGAUGCCCAGAGAGGGUAAGCCAUUUAACCAAAGCCACACAGUAAGUGACUGAGCUAGUUUCUGAAUCCCAAGCUCUGGGACAACAAAGUCACACCCCUCCCCUGACACAGCCCCCAGGACAACUGUGAAUAAUAACAGGAUCUGGUAGUACUGUCUAGUCUCUGAUCUAUGUCCCUCUGUCUAUUAACUCAUGUAAGACUCACUGUAACCCUAGGAGAUAGCAUUAUUAUCUUCCUUGUAUAGAAGAAAACUCACCCAAAGCUACAAAGUUGCUAAGGGGCAGAGCUGGAACAUGCAGCUGGCCAUCUGCCUUGGGAACUUUUAUCCAUUUCCCUGGCUAUAGUUUAGGCCAUUUUGGGUCAAGGCCUGUUACCCCAGUGACAGCUUAAAGGAGACAUUCUCAGAGCUGACUGUUUACAGGCAGCAGGGAAGCCACCCCAAGGUCCUCAUAGGCUGAAUCCAGCAUGUCUUCCUCCUCUAGGAGUGUAGAUCUACUGAGCCCACCUUUUUUUUAAAGGCUUUAAAAAAAUGCCUGGCCAAGCAGAAACAAACUGGACCUGACAGAGGCAAGGUGGAGGAGUGCAAAGAAUGACCUUCCAGUCUUCAGAAAACCUGAGUUGCCUUUGGAAACACACUUCGUGACGUUGGGCAACUGACAAAGUUCUCUUGGUGUCAGCGUCCCACGGCUAAAGACUGUUGAGAGAAGUAAAUGAAAUGGCUAUAUAGAAAAGUGAAUUAUAUACUCUAAAGUGCUCUUCAAGGCUCGUUUUAAUUGUUCCUUGUUCUAUAGGGCUAAGUUCUUCUGCCCAGCCUGGGCAGAAGCGGUGUCUAGGAAAAGGCUUUAGAAAUGCUAAUGCCAUGUUUGAGUGACAGGCCUGGACAAUGGAGGAGGGCUCUGUGAAUGGGGCAGCCCAGGCCUGGGAGCUGGGCUCCCCACGUGGGAGCUGAAUGGGGGAGGGUGCGGGCUGGAAGACACACCAGAUCUGGCGGACUGGAAGGGUUUGGAGCUGUCAGCAAUGGGGAAAGGCAAGAGGGCUACCUGCUUGCCAGGGGUUGGGGUGGGGUUCCCCAGAGAGAGAGGGAUGUUAGAUGAAGGAGCCCUGGGCUUGGAGGCAGAGGGUACAGACUAGCUGACCUGGAGCUUCAGAGGAAAGCAGUGGGAGAGCUGUGACAGAAGCCCUGGGAACCUGGCUGACUUGGGAGUGGGAAAAGACCAGAAGUUCUGAGAUGGGUAACUCUGGGCCCGAGACUCUGCUUGUGGAGGUAGGAAAGGCAACAUAGUGGCUGGGUUCUAGACACAGCUGGUUUCUAGACGCAGCUGGGUCCAGAAGAGUGAGCUGACCUGGGAAUCAGCCACCCAAGGCCAGGACGCAAUGUAGGCAAGUGUGCAUGUGUGCUUGUGUGUGGGAGGGGGCAAGAAAGGGGGUGGCUUCGGCUCUGUCUUCUUCCCUCCUAUUCAGCCCAUCUCUUCCCUGGGCUUUCUCCCUUGAUUUCCCCUCCCCCUUCACCAUGAAGGCUGUUUUUGUUCCUCCUCAGGGCCUAGCCCCCCGAGGUGUGCAAACAGGAAGGACCUCUCCCCGGGCAGUGAGUAAGGAGGGAAAAAUGAGGUGUUGAAAAGAUGACAAGUCGCCCUGUCAGAGCUCACCUUGGCAGGGAGCAGGCGGCAGAGGCCGGCGGGUGGUGGGGGGAGGUCUGCCCUGGAAGACAGCCUACAUGUGCCCAGAGCCAGGCGAGCGGAUCUGCAACAAGCAGGCACUGUGUAUUCGUUUGUUUGGUUUAGAAGAGUCCACCCCUCCUCUUCCCACCAUCAAAGAUCCCUUCCCUUCCUUCCCAGUGGGAAGAGUAAGGCCAAGGGGCCAGAGGCUUCGUGUGAGAUGGAAGGGGAGGGGACAGAUGGGAAGGGGCUGGGCAGGAGGCCCACCUCCCUCCUCUAAACCUGCUAUCCCACAGCCUCCUGGCUUAUCCUGCAUCAAAGACUCCACAAACUCAUCAUGAACUGACUUCAUCAAGGCCUCUCUCCACAGCCCUGCAUGCUGUCCCUCCUGUGGGCUUCCCGUUUGGACUGCAGUGUGGACGGACAGCUUUGAACUCAUGGACAUUCUUUUGCCUCCUAUCGCUUCUCAAAUCCUGGAACCCUCGGCAUGUGCUACAGCAUGCAGCUAGCUCAGUGAUUCUGCAGCCAGCCAGCCUGCCAGGACUUGGAUUCCCAUUCUACUCCUCUCAUCUGCAUCCCUGGGGCCUUGGGCUGUUAUGCACUUACUCUUCGUCGGCCUCAGUUCUCUCCAGUGGAGAGUGGGAACACGUGAGCUACAAACUCACCAUUGAGGAUGUUGAUAUUUAAAGUGAGAGGUGCCCGGUGUUCUAUUAGUAUUGUUAUUUAGAAUACGGAGUGUGACAGGGCAGGACAAUAAGCUGCCUUUCUUGAUACCCAGAGACAAGCCUGCCUGGGAGACAGAGGCUUGCAGCUGGAGACUGGCUGCCCGCUGUUUACAAUCAUCUUGUCAUAAAGCUAGCAGGAGCGGUCAUGAUUAAAGGUGCAUUGUCCGAG